RNAcentral lists this ribosomal RNA (466 nucleotides) under uncultured bacterium. RNAcentral's name for it is "partial 16S ribosomal RNA". It matches the Rfam family "Bacterial small subunit ribosomal RNA", at positions 28 to 507 of the family's 1533-position model. The record is from RNAcentral.
GACGAACGCUGGCGGCGCGCCUAACACAUGCCAGUCGAACGAGCGAGAGAGAGCUUGCUUUCUCGAGCGAGUGGCGAACGGGUGGGUAACGCGUGAGGAACCUGCCUCAAAGAGGGGGACAACAGUUGGAAACGACUGCUAAUACCGCAUAAGCCCACGACCCGGCAUCGGGUAGAGGGAAAAGGAGCAAUCCGCUUUGAGAUGGCCUCGCGUCCGAUUAGCUAGUUGGUGAGGUAACGGCCCACCAAGGCGACGAUCGGUAGCCGGACUGAGAGGUUGAACGGCCACAUUGGGACUGAGACACGGCCCAGACUCCUACGGGAGGCAGCAGUGGGGAAUAUUGCACAAUGGGGGAAACCCUGAUGCAGCGACGCCGCGUGGAGGAAGAAGGUCUUCGGAUUGUAAACUCCUGUUGUUGAGGAAGAUAAUGACGGUACUCAACAAGGAAGUGACGGCUAACUACGUG